AGAUAAUACCAGAAGUCUUACUCAAGCGGAAACAUGUCCCAUCUUUUUUAUUGCGCAUGCGCGAGCUAAACAAGUGUAAUGCAAUGUUGACAAUAGAAAAUUAUAUUGGGAAGUUGUCAUUCCUACAGUAAAAACAGCUUUUUUUCAAGUAGUACGAAAUGUGACUUCGAUUUAUCUGUGGAACUAUUUCAACAGAAGGUAAAGCAGUAAUUUUGUUGUAUUUAGAAAGCAAACAGGGUCAUAUUUUAAAGAAAAUAGCGCACUAAAUAUAAAUUUGAGCAUCAUUAAAAUGUGUUCGCUAUGAUGCCAUUUUGUCUCCAGUAUAUACGGAGUACUGCAUUUAUACUGGUGGAUAUUCGAAUUUAUUUGGCUCAAAAACACCAUUACUUCAAUAUCCCUUUCUUGUUUUUCCUUGGAUAGGUUUUAACAAGAUAGAACUCUAGAUCACUUGGGUCCAAAAACGCUAGAUUAUAAAAUCCUGAUGUGACUUGAUACUACAAAUAGAAUAUGUCUUGUGAUGUAAUACUACAAAUAGAAUGUCAAACUUCAAUGAAUUGAUAAAGUGUAAGGAUAGUGUUUAAAGUCGCUUCAUGUGUAGAAGCUGAAUUACUUUAGUUUAUACACUGUAUAUUGUCGAGAUCACAUGUUGAUAUGACUUAAUACUAGCAACUUGCAAUAAUGCACCUAUCAAUGUUAACCCCCAGAGGGGGGGGGGGUCGGGCAUAUGUGGGGUAUUUGAUCAUCAAUUGCAUCCCCACCCUGGGGAUUUUGAUCAGCAUUUUGGCCCCAAGUUGGGCCAUUUGAACCAAUUAACCUUUAUUAAUAUAGUAUUUAUUGCAAAAUAGUGGGGCAUUUGACCAAUAUUUAUUGCCCGACGGUGGGGCAUUUGAUUGAAAAUUUGCUCAAAAAAUCAAAUGCCCCACCUAUGCCCGACCCCCCCCCCCCCUCUGGGGCUUAACAUUGAUAGGUGCAUAAGUGGUCUGUCCUGCUUGUUUAUAAUACUUUAGAGUUUGGACAUUAGAACAUUGUAAUUGCCUGACAGAGACUGUUUAUAGGGCCUGUUUGUAUGGAAGCCGGGCUGGCCCGCUUAGCGAGACAGCCCGGUAAGGUAUAUACGCAGGAUGAUUUCUCUUGUGUUUAUUUGAGAAAAUUUCAUCCUGCUUACCGGGACUAUUUUGUUGUUUUGACAUUGUUUUGACAGUUGUUAAAAAUAGCUUGCGGCAGUAUCGUUGAACUUUCAUCCUGGCAACUGGGCUAGCCUGCUUGUGAUUGUUUAUAUGGAGAAAUUUCCAUCCUGGUCUCUGCAACACGGCCUCCCGCUUGUACAUAGAAACAAUUUUAAUUAUAAUUUUUACUAUAAAAAAUAAGUAGACAGCGAGAUCUCACUUACCGGGCUGUCUCACUUAGCCGGCCAGCCAGUUUUGAUAUAAACAGGCCCUUAAAAGCUGCAAGUUUCCUUGAAGCAAUAUCGUCUAUAUCACAGAAUACAGUUUCUGUAGUGACAUACUUUGUGUGUUUUCUGUCUUUAAUUAAAGUGUCUUAUGUUUGUAAUAUUUUUGUACAAUACCUUUUUGAAAUUGUUGAUACUGGUCUCAUUGUAACUCAGUUAUUCCUUCUCAAGAAAAAUAAAAAACAAAACUGUGUGGGUGUGUUUUUGCUCUUAACUAGUUUUUACAUCUACAUGAUUCAUGUACAAUUAAUGUACAUUUAAAUUAGCUUUGUUCAAUGAAUACAGGUGUGAUUCAAAUAUCAUUCCUGUCUGGUACUUGGGUCAAAUAGACAUAAGCAUACCAAAUCAUGCUAUGAAUUGAAAUACAAGUAUAGGGUGUGUAUUACUGUAUUGUUUAAAUAAAUAUAUUUUCCAGUUAACCCAGUAAGCUGCAUUGUGCCCCAAUGCACCCUACUUUACUAGUUUAUUUCACUUCAUCUAAUGCCAGAUGAUUUUACUUAUCGAGGGAGAGUGCUGCUGCUCAUUGAGCUCUGAUUGAGUUCACUGAAUGGCAGCACUUUCCCCUUGACAAGUGAAAUUGUCUGGUGUUAGACAGAGUAAAAUAAUCUUGCGUUCACUAAAGUAGCUACUUUUUCAAAAGCUCAACCAGGCUAAAGAUUCUUUGAUUUGAAAACCAAAGUGAUAGUGAACUAGUUAGUUGAAACAAACAGAAUUGUUUGAUUUAUUUACUUUCCACAACAUUGACAAUUAAAAUUUAAUUUGAUACUUUUCCAGUAUGCAUUCUUCAUUGACAUUAUAGAGGUUCAGAUUUGACUACCAUUACCAUUAAGGGACCAUCAAAUGCAUUUGAUAUAUUCGAUCAACCAUUAUAACCAAUCAGAUGCAUACUAAAGCCGCGUUCACACUAGCGGCCCAGGCCUGGCCUGGACCUAGCCUGGGUCUAGGUGUGAACGGGUUUUACCUGGCCUGAGCCUGGCCUAAGUCAAGAAAUCCAGGCCAGCAAAUGUAGGUGGCCUGGACCUGGCCUGGCCUUGAUCAUCACUGGUGUGAACAGGUUUUUCCUGUGCCUGGCCUGGGCGAGGCCCCGUUACCAUCGCAAUAUCUGCCCACGAUAAAAACUGGUCAGAUGAUUGUCAUACAAUUGGAGGGAAAAACAUUCAAAGCGCAAAAUUAAAUACUUUAGUGGAACACAAGGACGUUUAUAUUGACGCCUGAUUGCUUUGGCCUGGAGUUGGGCGUCAAGCCAGUGUGAAUGCGUCACAAUUGGCCCAGGCCAGGUCAAGGCCAGGCCUGGGCCGCUGGUGUGAACGCGGCUUAAGGCAGUCAGAGAUAGUGCUAGUAGAACUCAAAUCUUAACCUCUACAAUGAAAGUGCGAGUUUAUUCAUAAACUAAUUAUACGUAAAUCAACUUUCAUGCAAUCAUCUAGUUAUGCACCAGUCAAUGUAAAUCCCUGCCCCCAACCGGGGAGGGGCGGGAGGUUUAGUGGGGAAAGUGGUCUGUUUUGAUUAUAAAUUUGCCCCGAUGAUGGGAGACUUGGACGGUGGUUAAUAUAUAUAUCCUGUGUUGCUGUUUUAGUUUUCUUGACAAGAAAAGUUUAAAUACAACAACAUAUUAAAUGAAUUUGAUUUUCUAUUGCUGAUCUAUGAUUAUACAAAACUAUUUUCCCGCAGUUGAGAGACAUGCAGGGGACAUUGAUGUCCCUGGGGGCGGGACAAUUUUGCUUUUACUACCCCUCCAAGUCAAAAUCCCUGCCCCUCCCCGGUUGGGGGGUUUACAUUGACUGGUGCAUUAAUUAAAGAGGUGUCAGUGCCACAUAUGUAGUAAAAGCCAACUUGUCAGUAAAGGCCACAGAGCAAGAUUGUAUUUCAAAGAUUGCCAGUGACAAAAACAAUUGAUAGGCCUGAAAUAGAGUAUGCCAACAGUUA
This is a non-coding RNA of Paramuricea clavata, 3376 nucleotides long. The record is from the annotation of a GenBank genome assembly. Lineage: Eukaryota; Metazoa; Cnidaria; Anthozoa; Malacalcyonacea; Plexauridae.